RNAcentral lists this ribosomal RNA (259 nucleotides) under uncultured bacterium. Its description in RNAcentral is "partial 16S ribosomal RNA". It matches the Rfam family "Bacterial small subunit ribosomal RNA", at positions 1242 to 1500 of the family's 1533-position model. The record is from RNAcentral.
GAGGGAGGCGAAGCCGCGAGGCGGAGCAAAGCCCAAAAAUAACGUCCCAGUUCGGACUGUAGUCUGCAACCCGACUACACGAAGCCGGAAUCGCUAGUAAUCGCAGAUCAGAAUGCUGCGGUGAAUACGUUCCCGGGUCUUGUACACACCGCCCGUCACACCAUGGGAGUCGGAAAUGCCCGAAGUCAGUGGCCCAACCGCAAGGAGGGAGCUGCCGAAGGCAGGUCCGGUGACUGGGGUGAAGUCGUAACAAGGUAUC